This 468-nucleotide ribosomal RNA is filed under the name uncultured bacterium. RNAcentral's name for it is "partial 16S ribosomal RNA". It matches the Rfam family "Bacterial small subunit ribosomal RNA", at positions 28 to 507 of the family's 1533-position model. The record is from RNAcentral.
GACGAACGCUGGCGGCGUGCUUAACACAUGCAAGUCGAACGGAAAGGCCCUGCUUUUGUGGGGUGCUCGAGUGGCGAACGGGUGAGGAACACGUGAGUAACCUGCCCUUGACUUUGGGAUAACUUCAGGAAACUGGGGCUAAUACCGGAUAGGAGCUCCUGCUGCGUGGUGGGGGUUGGAAAGUUUCGGCGGUUGGGGAUGGACUCGCGGCUUAUCAGCUUGUUGGUGGGGUAGUGGCUUACCAAGGCUUUGACGGGUAGGCGGCCUGAGAGGGUGACCGGCCACAUUGGGACUGAGGUACGGCCCAGACUCCUACGGGAGGCAGCAGUGGGGAAUAUUGCACAAUGGGCGGAAGCCUGAUGCAGCAACGCCGCGUGCGGGAUGACGGCCUUCGGGUUGUAAACCGCUUUCGCCUGUGACGAAGCGUGAGUGACGGUAAUGGGUAAAGAAGCACCGGCUAACUACGUG